GCAAUCAUUGGCUAUUGAGUCUCUCUCUAAUAGAAACCCACUACAGUGGUCAUUGAAAACCAGUUUCUUUCUCACUCUAACUGCAUGCCAUCUGUUUAUCAGUUUCUCUCUAAACGAAAAACCAGCCUCUCUUUCUCUCUAAACACCAGUCCAUGAGAUCAUUGAAAACCAAUCUCCCUUUCUCUCUAAAAGGCAAACCAAUUUCUUUCUCACUCUAAUUGCAUGCCCACUUUUUCUCUCUCCCACCCUGAAAUUUCUGUAUCUCCCUAAAAAUCUCUGCAGUGAGCACCACUUUCCCAAAAUAUUUCUGUUUCGCUACCCUUUUUUGUUCUCCGUCUCUUUGUCUCUCUCAGACCUCUUUCUCUCCAUAGAACUCCCACUUUCUCUCUCUCUAGAAAGCUAUAUUUUUGGCCGAUCCACUUGGUUGGCUCUCUGGUCUCCGAACCUCGUUCUCUAUAAAU
RNAcentral lists this long non-coding RNA (461 nucleotides) under Amborella trichopoda. RNAcentral's name for it is "long non-coding RNA (ATRI_LNC004072)". Lineage: Eukaryota; Viridiplantae; Streptophyta; Magnoliopsida; Amborellales; Amborellaceae. The record is from RNAcentral.